AUAACCUUUUGGUUUAUAAAUAAAUGUUAGUGGCAGACGGGUGAGUAAUGCGUAGGAAUCUACCUAGUAGUAUGGAAUAGCCAUUAGAAAUGAUGGGUAAUACUGUAUAAUCCCUGCGGGGGAAAGAUUUAUCGCUAUUAGAUGAGCCUACGUUAGAUUAGCUAGUUGGUAAGGUAAUGGCUUACCAAGGCUAUGAUCUAUAGCUGGUCUGAGAGGACGAUCAGCCACACUGGAACUGAGAUACGGUCCAGACAUCCUACGGGAGGCAGCAGUGGGGAAUAUUGGACAAUGGGCGAAAGCCUGAUCCAGCUAUGCCGCGUGAGUGAAGAAGGCCUUCGGGUGUAAAACUC
This 350-nucleotide ribosomal RNA is filed under the name Ehrlichia chaffeensis. RNAcentral describes it as "bacterial SSU rRNA". It matches the Rfam family "Bacterial small subunit ribosomal RNA", at positions 66 to 433 of the family's 1533-position model. The record is from RNAcentral. Lineage: Bacteria; Pseudomonadati; Pseudomonadota; Alphaproteobacteria; Rickettsiales; Anaplasmataceae.